CAUCUCUCAGCUGGACAGUAAGGGCCGUUCACACCACACACUGACAACAUGCUGGGGACACUCUGCACUCUCAUCACUGUGCUCUCAUGUAAGGGAAAUCUCAUGUGACAGUGGUUACACAGAAGCCUCCUGUUCUGUCAGUGAGUAAAGGAGAUACGGCCACUAUGGUCUGUAACGUUGGGACUGGGGGUGGUAGAGCUCUCUGGUACAAGCAGGUUCCAGGUGGAGUUCCUCAGUUUGUGCUGCGGCUCUAUAAAGAUGAACACUCUCCAGAUACAUAUGGAACUGGUUUCACAUCCAAUCGCUUCACAUCAACCCGUCAGAGUAAUACAGACUCCCAAUUUAUAAUUAAAAAUGUGGAGGCAGGAGACUCAGCAGUGUAUUACUGUCAGACAUGGGAUAACUCUGCUAAAGAGGAUGUAUUCGGCCAAGGCACCAAGCUGAUUGUCGCUGACUCUUCUCUUGCUGCGCCUACCCUCUCUCUCCUGCCUCCAUCCAGCGAGGAGCUGAAGACCGACCAAGCCACGGUGGUGUGCCUGGCGCAGAUGUCUGUUGGGUUCGCUGAUGUCAGCUGGACAUCGGGCGGGACACCAGUUACAAGCGGGGUUUUUACCAGCGCAGUCGAACAGAAACCCGACAAAUCCUCCGGUUUGAGCAGCUUCUUAACCAUCAAGUCCUCCGAAUGGAUUACUGACCGCGUCUUUACCUGUAAAGUCUCUGUCGGGUCUAAAACCUCAGAGAAAAGUAUCAAAAAGUCUGAUUGCAGCGAGUAAACUGGCUAUUUUGUGGGGUGCUCUCGAACUGUAUUAUUUCAUUUUGGUUUCUGCAAUAACAGCUUUAACAUGCGAUAGUGUAUCUAACAUUUUGGGAUGGGCUACCAAAAAGCUAAAAAUAUAAAGGCUAGUAUAUCCUGAAUAAGGAUGCUUUAAUGAUUACCAUUUAUACAUAGUGAGCUGUCAAAUGUCAAGAUUCUGUGCAUUUAAUAAAGAGCAUGAAAUGAA
Molecule: non-coding RNA, 1001 nt
Organism: Anguilla rostrata (American eel)
Lineage: Eukaryota; Metazoa; Chordata; Actinopteri; Anguilliformes; Anguillidae
Source: the annotation of a RefSeq genome assembly